CCAGGCAUUCAGUCAAAUAUUCACUUCUGACAUAAUCUAACCAGUGCAACAGCCUGUGUACAUAAAAGUUCAUGCCAAGUUACCUCAACUGCUAUUGUUAAAUAGAACUCAAAAUCUCCACAAGCUAUAAACUUUCUGAAAAAAAAAUAUGAUAAAAGAAAUUACCAUAAGAGCAUUCAAGUCUUGAAAAAGCCUCUUGCAAGCUCUUAUCAGUACUUUCCCACAUCUCCCCUUCUUUCCUCAAUAUCCCAGCCUCACUGACUCAAAUUGAGUAACUGUAACAUUAUCAUUGAGUAACUGCAGCAAAUUCUCUCUUUAUCACCCCAUGCUGUUGACCUCCAAUUUACGAGUCGCUUCCCUUCUUAAUCACUCAACCUUACUCUCCUCGUUCCUAUACUUUGCAAAUGUUUUAACUCUGUUCCUAUUAGAAUUGGGAGCCUAACCUCUCAGUACUCAUAGUCAUUAGUCUGGUUAUGACGCAUUCAUGCUAUUAUAUAUGCAUUUGUUGGUUGACAUUUACAUCAGGGAUUAUGCCUCUUACCAGAAUGGUACAGUGAGUUUAUGAUUGAUCCUCACUGUUAAUAUUAUAAGGCCUGCAUGCUAGAUAGAUGUGAUGGAUUCUUGUACUUUGUGG
Molecule: long non-coding RNA, 634 nt
Filed under: Populus trichocarpa (black cottonwood)
Lineage: Eukaryota; Viridiplantae; Streptophyta; Magnoliopsida; Malpighiales; Salicaceae
Description: long non-coding RNA (PTRI_LNC000205)
Source: RNAcentral